This 200-nucleotide unclassified non-coding RNA is filed under the name soil metagenome. Its description in RNAcentral is "partial contains internal transcribed spacer 2 and large subunit ribosomal RNA". The record is from RNAcentral.
GCUUGUAACGAGUCGGCUCGGCUGAAAUACACGAGCAACCCAAUAGUCUGGACUUAGACGGCUUGACUCGGCGUGAUAAUUAUCACUCGCUGAGGACGUCUUCAUAUCCACAAUAGUUCGGUGCUUCUAGCUCGUUUGUGAAAUACCAAACAUCUUUAGCUUUAGACCUCAAAUCAGGCAGGACUACCCGCUGAACUUAA